This 84-nucleotide transfer RNA is filed under the name Gemmatimonadota bacterium. RNAcentral's name for it is "tRNA-Ser". It matches the Rfam family "tRNA". From Rfam's summary of the family: Transfer RNA (tRNA) molecules are approximately 80 nucleotides in length. Their secondary structure includes four short double-helical elements and three loops (D, anti-codon, and T loops). Lineage: Bacteria; Pseudomonadati; Gemmatimonadota. The record is from RNAcentral.
GGAGGGGUGGCAGAGCGGUCAAUUGCACCGGUCUUGAAAACCGGAGGCCGAGAGGUCACGUGGGUUCGAAUCCCACCCCCUCCG